GGAGGCGUAGCUCAGUGGGAGAGCACAUGACUGAAGAUCAUGGAGUCGCGAGUUCGAUUCUCGUCGCCUCCA
RNAcentral lists this transfer RNA (72 nucleotides) under Candidatus Pacearchaeota archaeon. RNAcentral's name for it is "tRNA-Phe". It matches the Rfam family "tRNA". Rfam says of the family: Transfer RNA (tRNA) molecules are approximately 80 nucleotides in length. Their secondary structure includes four short double-helical elements and three loops (D, anti-codon, and T loops). Lineage: Archaea; Nanobdellati. The record is from RNAcentral.